Molecule: ribosomal RNA, 423 nt
Filed under: uncultured bacterium
Lineage: Bacteria
Description: partial 16S ribosomal RNA
Rfam family: Bacterial small subunit ribosomal RNA
Source: RNAcentral
AUUUUGGACAAUGGGGGAAACCCUGAUCCAGCCAUCCCGCGUGUAUGAUGAAGGCCUUCGGGUUGUAAAUUACUUUUGGCAGAGAAGAAAAGGUAUCCACUACUACGGGUUACUGCUUCCGGUAUCUGCAGAAUAAGCACCGGCUAAAUACGUGCCAGCCGCCGCCGUAAUACGUAGGGUGAAAGCCUUAAUCGGAAUUAAUGGGCGUAAAGCGUAUGGAGGCGGUGCGGAAAGAAAGAUGUGAAAUCCCAGGGCUCAACCUUGGAACUGCAUUUUUAACUGCCGAGCUAGAGUAUGUCAGAGGGGGGUAGAAUUCCACGUGUAGCAGUGAAAUGCGUAGAUAUGUGGAGGAAUACCGAUGGCGAAGGCAGCCCCCUGGGAUAAUACUGACGCUCAGACACGAAAGCGUGGGGAGCAAACAGG